CAAUAGCGUAUAUUUAAGUUGUUGCAGUUAAAAAGCUCGUAGUCGGAUUUUGGCUGAGAACGAUCGGUCCGCCGUUAGGUGUGCACUGAUUGGUCUCAGCUUCCUGGUGAGGAGGUGUGCUUCACGGCCACUUAGUCACCGUGGUUACUUUGAAAAAAUUAGAGUGUUCAAAGCGGGCUUACGCUUGAAUAUAUUAGCAUGGAAUAACACCAUAGGACUCCUGUCCUAUUUCGUUGGUCACGGGACGGGAGUAAUGAUUAAGAGGAACAGUUGGGGGCACUCGUAUUUCAUUGUCAGAGGUGAAAUUCUUGGAUUUAUGAAAGACGAACUUCUGCGAAAGCAUUUGCCAAGGAUGUUUUCAUUGA
Molecule: ribosomal RNA, 365 nt
Filed under: uncultured eukaryote
Lineage: Eukaryota
Description: partial 18S ribosomal RNA
Rfam family: Eukaryotic small subunit ribosomal RNA
Source: RNAcentral